UACGUAGGGUGCAAGCGUUGUCCGGAAUUAUUGGGCGCAAAGAGCUCGUAGGCGGCCUGUCGCGUCGGCUGUGAAAACCCGGGGCUCAACCCCGGGCCUGCAGUCGAUACGGGCAGGCUAGAGUCCGGCAGGGGAGACUGGAAUUCCUGGUGUAGCGGUGAAAUGCGUAGAUAUACGGAGGAACACCAGCGGCGAAGGCGGGUAGCUGGGCCAACACUGACGCUGAUGUGCGAAAGCUAGGGGAGCAAACGGG
This 253-nucleotide ribosomal RNA is filed under the name uncultured bacterium. Its description in RNAcentral is "partial 16S ribosomal RNA". It matches the Rfam family "Bacterial small subunit ribosomal RNA", at positions 524 to 776 of the family's 1533-position model. The record is from RNAcentral.